Mauremys mutica (yellowpond turtle) is the source of this 293-nucleotide long non-coding RNA. RefSeq lists it as uncharacterized. The transcript has 3 exons. NCBI's taxonomy places the organism in Eukaryota, Metazoa, Chordata, Testudines, Geoemydidae. The record is from RefSeq and is a predicted model, not a curated record.
AGGCAACAAACCAAAAAAAAAAAAACAGUAUCUGGAGUUAACUGUGCUUCUGCCUAACAGAAUGAACUGCAGAGGGCAGAUACUCAGGAGGAAAACAUAGGUUUGCCCCUGGAGAAGCCUUUCAAAAUGCACACUCCCCCGUUUCAGCUUCUAGCAUCCAAUCAAAUUAGAUCUAACAACAAGGAGCAGAAGAAGAAAAGGAAAAAUCAAUGUGGGCCAAACGUAAAGGAAGAAAAUCAAUAGGGAAAGAAAUUUGAUUUUCAACCAAAGACUAAGAAUAUAUUACAAAAAAU